This 496-nucleotide ribosomal RNA is filed under the name uncultured bacterium. RNAcentral's name for it is "partial 16S ribosomal RNA". It matches the Rfam family "Bacterial small subunit ribosomal RNA", at positions 29 to 507 of the family's 1533-position model. The record is from RNAcentral.
AUGAACGCUGGCGGCGUGCCUAAUACAUGCAGGUCGAGCGCACGGACGAGAAGCUUGCUUCUCUGAUGUUAGCGGCGGACGGGUGAGUAACACGUGGAUAACCUACCUAUAAGACUGGGAUAACUUCGGGAAACCGUAGCUAAUACCGGAUAAUAUUUUGAACCGCAUGGUUCAAAAGUGAAAGACGGUCUUGCUGUCACUUAUAGAUGGAUCCGCGCUGCAUUAGCUAGUUGGUAAGGUAACGGCUUACCAAGGCAACGAUGCAUAGCCGACCUGAGAGGGUGAUCGGCCACACUGGAACUGAGACACGGUCCAGACUCCUACGGGAGGCAGCAGUAGGGAAUCUUCCGCAAUGGGCGAAAGCCUGACGGAGCAACGCCGCGUGAGUGAUGAAGGUCUUCGGAUCGUAAAACUCUGUUAUUAGGGAAGAACAUAUGUGUAAGUAACUGUGCACAUCUUGACGGUACCUAAUCAGAAAGCCACGGCUAACCACGUG